UGCAAAUUAACCCCUGCAUUUUGUAAAAAUUCCGCCCGCGCUCAGUUGUUAAUCUUAUCCAGAGAAGGUGGAAGGGGGGACAGCUUCGGCUGGGCUCUCGUCGGCGAGCUCGUCGGCCGUCCGGCUCUCCCCUCCACCUCCGACCCUCUCGGCCUCUCCUCCGCCUCCGGCGUCCCCGCCCCUCCCCCUGUAGGUGAGCUGGAGGAGGACCAUAGGUCAGGGAGUGUUUGGUUUCAGAGAGAUCGUUGGGGAGGAGUUCAUGACCAUGUUCCUGUCAGUUUUUAGCAGUAUGGUUCAGAGACUGGUUCCUAGGUAGGGGUUGAAGCUUGGGAAAGAAGACUAGAAGAGUCGGGUGAAUAUUGCAAAUCCCUCGACCAUUUUGGUAUGCACAUGUCUCCUCCAAAUUGCUUACCUAAAUAAGAAAAUUUUAGUGAAUGUAGGUGUAGUGAAGUAGCUUUGCAUUCUCAAAUAAUCAUUUAUUAAAUAUUUGUUGGGUUUGUGGAACCCAUUUAUUUUCCCAAAGAUCACAUGUGCCUGCUAAGUCUUGGGAUCCAUUUUUUUGUUCCUAUGGGACCAAUCCGUAGAAGAAUGCAUGCUCCCGGGCCAUAGAAGAAAUCAGCAGGUGGACAUAGUUGAGGGUCUGAGGCAACAAUAGUUCUUCGAAGGCACUGGGCAAUAAUUGAUUGGUCGAAGGUAGCGUUUUUUGUCGAGCUUCAAUUGACAGGGAAGAAACUGUUUCUAUAUGUGCCUUUGGUUUUCUUUCUCUUAUGGAGUUCGUACAGUUCUUUUUUCAGGGCAAGAGAUUCUUUAGCUAGAUAAGAAAGAGCACUCUGAUUAAUUAGAUCAGAAGUUGUUUUUUCCAUCGAGCUUCAGUUGACAGGGAAGAAAUUGUUUCUGUCUAUGCCUUUGGUUUUCUUUAACUUAGGGAGUUUGUAUAGUUUUUUUAGGGGAAGAGAUUCUUCAGCUAGAUGAGAAAGAGCACUCUGAUUAAUUAGAUCAGAAGUUGUGUGUGAUGAUAAUCGCUCGUGCAGACUACAAUACCACCAACCACCAGGUGAGGUCGUCAGUGAGGCGCCGUUAGUAGACAUGAGUAAAGCUUCUUGACCUAUACGUUUCAUGGUUUGGCAUAUUUGCUUCAUCGGAGUGCUUCAUGUACUUAUUCUGAUGAUUGAGAUCCUUAAUUUGCAUUGGUUUAUUUUUGCCGCAUCUCCUGCAAUACAUUAGUGAAAAGCUUAGCAGUGCUGAUUUCUAAACUUGAAGUUAUGGCUUGUUUAACCUCAUAAUAAUUUAGUUUUGGAGAGUGCAGAAAUCAUUUUGAGGAAACAGUGAACAAAAAAGUUGGGCAUCCUGGGUAAUCAGCUGGGAGAAGCCCAGAAAUUCUAACAGGAGUGGUGACAGUAGCAGCAACAUGCCUGAUACAAGGCCCCAGAAUAGUGAUUGGAGCAUUAAAGCCAUGGAUACACUCUUAUGUCAUAUAUACUUUUUAGUGUUCUUGAAAGUGCUUUGUUGGUUGUACAAGGAAUCGAUCUAACAACGUCAUUUCAUGAAGGAAGGGGUUGUACUUUCCUUACAGAGCAUAGCUCAUUAUGCAAGGCGUUCAUUAUUGCAACAUCUUGUCCAGGGCUAGCUCAUUCAUUAGGGGUUGCUCAGCUAUGCUUUUUUUUUCCUUUUUCUUUUUUAUUUCCUUAUUGGAUUAUAUGCUACUCGGUGUUGAAGGGUUUGUUCAUGCCAAAUUUAAGAAAUCUUGUGAUGUUACCAGAGAUUGCCCAUUUACUCAUUCGGCAUGGGAUGGUCAGGGUUUGUUUAUUUUUAUCAGCGGACUUCCGUUCAGAAAAUAACCCAAUAGCGCUCGCCUGUUCUCUUUACUUAUGUACCUACACAAUAGUGCUCUAUUAAUUUUGUUGUGCAAAUAAUCAGUCUUUGUGUUUAUGA
This is a long non-coding RNA of Triticum aestivum (bread wheat), 1932 nucleotides long. RefSeq lists it as uncharacterized. The transcript has 5 exons. Lineage: Eukaryota; Viridiplantae; Streptophyta; Magnoliopsida; Poales; Poaceae. The record is from RefSeq and is a predicted model, not a curated record.